AAGUUGGACAAUAUUUUUUAUUUUUUUGUUAUUAUUAAAUGAAUUUUAUUUUAAUUUGAAUUUUUAUAUUUAUUGUUUUUACUAUAAGAUUAUUUGCAUUUAAGAUAAAUUGAAUUAUUAUGAAUUAUUAAAUGAACUGUAUUAUCUUAACAUUGCAAAGUAAUCUUGUAAUUAGUAAUCAGUAUUCGGUACAAUUGAAUUGUCAUUUGUUCUAAAUAUUCGCUGAAUAGCCAUUUAUGUUCUAAACCUAAGUUUCGCGUUUCUUAUAAUUAAAAUAAAUCUUCACUUGUAAAUCAUCAGUCGUUGUGAAAACAUUAAAACAUCUCUCCCGCUCUUUAAACUCAGUGCUGUGAACAAAAAUAAAAUAAUAUAUAAAAACAAUACCUCCAACUUCACUUAUUUACUUCAAUUAGCCCGGCAGAACAAAAGAUUGCUCCUUGUUUUCCCCCGCUCUACCAGUCUACAGAAGUUGCUCUAGUUUAUUUCAUGGUCCUAUCGAGCCUCUCAGUAUAUUGAAAAAUAACCAGAAAAAUACCAACAAAUUUCCCUA
Long non-coding RNA from Lucilia cuprina (Australian sheep blowfly), 550 nucleotides. RefSeq lists it as uncharacterized. The record is from RefSeq and is a predicted model, not a curated record. NCBI's taxonomy places the organism in Eukaryota, Metazoa, Arthropoda, Insecta, Diptera, Calliphoridae. The transcript is spliced from 2 exons.